RNAcentral lists this ribosomal RNA (233 nucleotides) under uncultured bacterium. RNAcentral's name for it is "partial 16S ribosomal RNA". It matches the Rfam family "Bacterial small subunit ribosomal RNA", at positions 57 to 305 of the family's 1533-position model. The record is from RNAcentral.
GCAAGUCGAACGAUCCGUGGUCUUCGGACCACAAUGGAUAGUGGCGCACGGGUGAGUAACGCGUGGGAAUAUGCCUUGGAGUACGGAAUAACUAAUGGAAACGUUAGCUAAUACCGUAUACGCCCUACGGGGGAAAGAUUUAUCGCUCCAAGAUUAGCCCGCGUCUGAUUAGUUUGUUGGUAGGGUAAUGGCCUACCAAGACUACGAUCAGUAGCUGGUCUGAGAGGAUGACC